UGAUGUGGGAACCCUUGCUUACUUAACACCGCACCCGGGCGCCGGUAUGGCUCGUCGCUUUCAGUGAACGCCCUACUCCCUUGCAAAUUUCUCACUUAACAUACAAUCACAAUUAAAAAAGAAAAAUUAAAAUUUAUCUACAAAUUCAAAAAAGGGUCUUUUAUGAUCUUCUUUUGUUUUAACUUUUAUUUAAUCAUUUGUUUAUUUUAUUUUCACAAUCUCACUACAUAUCCAUGAAAACAAAUCAGCAAAUUAAAGAGCAUCUGUACUCUGCAACAAAUAAACCAGCAGCAAAUAAACACUAGUGAAAAAGAAAAAGGAAGAAGAAAGGAAAAAAAAUCAAGUUCUUGCGGAGAGUAGUGGUGAGUGCCGGUGGUGGAGAGAGGGAAGGAGAAAAAGGA
This 401-nucleotide unclassified non-coding RNA is filed under the name Hevea brasiliensis (rubber tree). Lineage: Eukaryota; Viridiplantae; Streptophyta; Magnoliopsida; Malpighiales; Euphorbiaceae. The record is from RNAcentral.